GCCUGGGUGGCUCAGUCGGUUGAGCGUCCGACUUCGGCUCAGGUCAUGAUCUCACGGCUCGUGGGUUCGAGCCCCGCGUCGGGCU
Felis catus (domestic cat) is the source of this 85-nucleotide transfer RNA. It matches the Rfam family "tRNA". Rfam says of the family: Transfer RNA (tRNA) molecules are approximately 80 nucleotides in length. Their secondary structure includes four short double-helical elements and three loops (D, anti-codon, and T loops). NCBI's taxonomy places the organism in Eukaryota, Metazoa, Chordata, Mammalia, Carnivora, Felidae. The record is from Rfam.